This 1119-nucleotide long non-coding RNA is filed under the name Anolis carolinensis (green anole). RNAcentral describes it as "lncRNA (ENSACAG00000037884.1)". Lineage: Eukaryota; Metazoa; Chordata; Lepidosauria; Squamata; Anolidae. The record is from RNAcentral.
GAAUAUGAUGAUAUUAAUAUGGUAAUAGAAUAAUAGUAUAAAAUAAUAAGUUUCAUGGCAUAGGAUAGGAAUAAGGAUGAGAGGAGAAUCCCAAUACGUCCUGUACCUUUAAGGACGAGUGGAAAGGGUGUUCAAGCCCUCUUCCUUCCCUCCAACCCUCGCUUGCCCUGACUCCAGGAGCCAAUCAGAAGCCUUGGGGGCGAAGGGAGCAUGGCCAGGACGGAGCCUUGUCUCCGAAGGAAGAAACGGCAGCGCAGCAGCAGCCACGGAAGGUUCUUCAAGCCACGUCUCUCCCUGCCUCCGUGAUAGUGGUGAAUACUUAAAACAUUUCAAGCACAGGGAAGCCGUUUGAGUUUUGAACCAAUGUCAGAUAUCGUCCUGACAAGAGAGAAGAUGGAGCACGUCAAGAGAUGCAAAGUCCUAAAUCAUGAUAUAAAGUCUUAUGUCUAUUAAUUCCACACUGACUAAAAAUUAAAUAUAGCAACCAUAUUAACCCAGAAUAAUAGAUAUGGAAAGUAAAAUGCAACCCUCAGUCACAAUAAAUUAACCUUGCUUUGGCAAUUGGUACGUAUGAAGUGUAUUAUGAAUAAAAAGUUGCUUUGGAACAGAUUGAUGUGUCUGCCUCUGUCAUGAUGAAAUGAAUCCUUCUGCUAGGUGACUGAUAGGAUUACAACAAUGCUCUGGAAAGGGAACUGAAUGGAUAUUAAUCUACUCAAAGGUCCAAGUCUCCAUUUAUUGUGAAAUGCAGUACAGGCUGUAAUCUAGCAUGGCUUAGUGAGGCGUGAACACACAAGUCUUCCAGGCUGAAUUUAAGUUCUCCUCUCUGUCACUGGCUAGUGCACCAACAAUCAAGUGCAGAAAAGCUUGUGACAGCCCCAUAUAAUGUGAAAACUCCUUUGGCAUCAGAAUAAUCUGACAGUUUGCUUGCGAUAGAGACUACUGAUUAUUAUCCCAUAGCAUAGAAAUUCCAUACAAUUCACUCCAUAACUGCACUAAAACUGAAAUUAGAAUAUGGUUUGUUCUAUAAGUUAAAAUGCAAUUUGGUGGAAGGUAUUUUUUUAUGUCAGGAGUGACUUGAUAAACUGUAAGCCACUUCUGGUGUGAGAGAAUUGGCCAUCU